Molecule: long non-coding RNA, 1135 nt
Filed under: Androctonus crassicauda
Lineage: Eukaryota; Metazoa; Arthropoda; Arachnida; Scorpiones; Buthidae
Source: RNAcentral
AUUUCAGUCGAAAUUAUUCAUAAAAUUAUAACAAUUUCAAUUAUUUGGUUAAUUUUUACAAAAGAAAUAAUGAAUGAAAAAGUUGUAAACUCUAAAUGAAAGUUUUUGCUUCCAACUUUGGGGUGAACAAUGCUUGGCAAUAUUUGUGUCUUCCACACAUAUCUUCGAAUUGUUUGUUGCAACAAUGUGCUCGUGUUGUCCAUUGACGUCACUCAAUAUAGGUCACGUGCCCCCAUGCGACUUUUGCUCCCUCUGACGGGUCAGUUUGAAAAGUCGGGUUUUUUUGAUGAUGAUGAUGAUGAUAAUGAUGAUCUUUACUUCGAAUCGGAUAUGUUAAAAUGGAUGUUGUUUACGUGACUAUUCCUAGAAAGGAUGAACAGACGCCAUGCAAAUGGAUUAAUUCUGUGAUUUGCAUUAGAAACGUUAUAUUUUAGAGAGAAAAGAUUUUUUUCUGCAAGUUUGAAUAUUUUAAUGGAAUUUCAUUUAAUCGGAUGAUUGUCCUCAUCUUGAUUCCGCCAUCUUGACUUAUAUCCAGAGAAAAUUGGAUUUUUAAAAUAUAAAACAUCAAAAUACAGGAAGCGAUUUGGUUUUAGAUAUCGGCCUAUAGAGGGUAAGGAUUAAAUUAUUAUAAAGGUGUCUAUUUUCGGGAAUUGAAAAUUGCCCUCAUUGUGAAACAAUAACUUUAAUUAAAUACACAUUAAUUAAAUAUUCAUCUAUCAGACAAUUUAGGAACAAAUUAAUUAAAACAUUUACACAUCUAUAUAUGUAUGAAUGAUUUUUUAAAAUAUCGAACACGUAUAUUAUUUGCGUAAAUGCCACCAUCACUAUGUACAGUUUGAAUAAGUUUAUUAUUCAUUUAAAAAAACUGAUAAUGAUUGAUUUAUAACAUAUAGUAGGAUUUAGAUAAUUUCUUUAAUACAUCCAGGUGUGGCUAAUCCAAUAUGGCUUCUAAAGACAUGAAUGCAAUCAAGUAUGGCUUAUUUCUUUCAUAUUGUUAAAAUACAGACUAUGUUUGAUACAGAUGCACAAUAUUAGAACUGUAUACUUGUUUAUUUGAAAAUGUCUAAAGUGAAUUUUUAAUAAAUAUCAGUUUAAAACCAUAAUACGUCAACCAAUUAAUUCUUAAUUGUCAAAC